This 446-nucleotide ribosomal RNA is filed under the name uncultured bacterium. RNAcentral describes it as "partial 16S ribosomal RNA". It matches the Rfam family "Bacterial small subunit ribosomal RNA", at positions 338 to 795 of the family's 1533-position model. The record is from RNAcentral.
CCUACGGGUGGCUGCAGUCGAGAAUCAUUCACAAUGGGGGAAACCCUGAUGGUGCGACGCCGCGUGGGGGAAUGAAGGUCUUCGGAUUGUAAACCUCUGUUAUGUGGGAGCAAAUUAAAAAGAUAGUACCACAAGAGGAAGAGACGGCUAACUCUGUGCCAGCAGCUGCGGUAAUACAGAGGUCUCAAGCGUUGUUCGGAAUCAUUGGGCGGAAAGCGUGCGUAGGCUUUUUGGUAAGUCGGGUGUGAAAGUCGGGGGCUCAACCGGCGGACUGCACAUGAUACUGGGAUACUAGAGUAAUGGAGGGGGAGCCGGAAUUCGUGGUGUAGCAGUGAAAUGCGUAGAUAUCGAGAAGAACACUCAUGGCGAAGGCAGGUUCCUGGACAGUAACUGACGCUGAGGCACGAAGGCCAGGGGAGCGAAAGGGAUUAGAUACCCCAGUAGUC